UACAGAGGGUGCAAGCGUUAAUCGGAAUUACUGGGCGUAAAGCGCGCGUAGGUGGUUCGUUAAGUUGGAUGUGAAAUCCCCGGGCUCAACCUGGGAACUGCAUUCAAACUGACGAGCUAGAGUAUGGUAGAGGGUGGUGGAAUUCCUGUGUAGCGGUGAAAUGCGUAGAUAUAGGAAGGAACACCAGUGGCGAAGGCGACCACCUGGACUGAUACUGACACUGAGGUGCGAAAGCGUGGGAGCAAACAGG
RNAcentral lists this ribosomal RNA (250 nucleotides) under uncultured bacterium. Its description in RNAcentral is "partial 16S ribosomal RNA". It matches the Rfam family "Bacterial small subunit ribosomal RNA", at positions 524 to 776 of the family's 1533-position model. The record is from RNAcentral.